RNAcentral lists this ribosomal RNA (435 nucleotides) under uncultured bacterium. RNAcentral's name for it is "partial 16S ribosomal RNA". It matches the Rfam family "Bacterial small subunit ribosomal RNA", at positions 29 to 507 of the family's 1533-position model. The record is from RNAcentral.
AGCGAACGCUGGCGGCAGGCUUAACACAUGCAAGUCGAGCGGGCACUUUCGGGUGUCAGCGGCGGACGGGUGUGUAACGCGUGGGAACGUGCCCUCUGGUUCGGAAUAACUCAGGGAAACUUGAGCUAAUACCGGAUACGCCCUUUUGGGGAAAGGCUUGCUGCCGGAGGAUCGGCCCGCGUCUGAUUAGCUAGUUGGUGAGGUAACGGCUCACCAAGGCGACGAUCAGUAGCUGGUCUGAGAGGAUGAUCAGCCACACUGGGACUGAGACACGGCCCAGACUCCUACGGGAGGCAGCAGUGGGGAAUAUUGGACAAUGGGCGCAAGCCUGAUCCAGCCAUGCCGCGUGAGUGAUGAAGGCCUUAGGGUUGUAAAGCUCUUUUAUCCGGGACGAUAAUGACGGUACCGGAGGAAUAAGCCCCGGCUAACUUCGUG